This 468-nucleotide ribosomal RNA is filed under the name uncultured bacterium. RNAcentral describes it as "partial 16S ribosomal RNA". It matches the Rfam family "Bacterial small subunit ribosomal RNA", at positions 28 to 507 of the family's 1533-position model. The record is from RNAcentral.
GACGAACGCUGGCGGCGUGCUUAACACAUGCAAGUCGAACGGAAAGGCCCUGCUUUUGUGGGGUGCUCGAGUGGCGAACGGGUGAGUAACACGUGAGUAACCUGCCCUUGACUUUGGGAUAACUUCGGGAAACUGGGGCUAAUACCGGAUAGGAGUUCCUGCUGCAUGGUGGGGGUUGGAAAGCUUCGGCGGUUGGGGAUGGACUCGCGGCUUAUCAGCUUGUUGGUGGGGUAGUGGCUUACCAAGGCUUUGACGGGUAGCCGGCCUGAGAGGGUGACCGGCCACAUUGGGACUGAGAUACGGCCCAGACUCCUACGGGAGGCAGCAGUGGGGAAUAUUGCACAAUGGGCGGAAGCCUGAUGCAGCAACGCCGCGUGCGGGAUGACGGCCUUCGGGUUGUAAACCGCUUUCGCCUGUGACGAAGCGUGAGUGACGGUAAUGGGUAAAGAAGCACCGGCUAACUACGUG